This 430-nucleotide ribosomal RNA is filed under the name uncultured bacterium. RNAcentral describes it as "partial 16S ribosomal RNA". It matches the Rfam family "Bacterial small subunit ribosomal RNA", at positions 354 to 796 of the family's 1533-position model. The record is from RNAcentral.
GUGGGGAAUAUUGCACAAUGGGCGCAAGCCUGAUGCAGCAACGCCGCGUGAGGGACGACGGCCUUCGGGUUGUAAACCUCUUUUAGCAGGGAAGAAGCGAAAGUGACGGUACCUGCAGAAAAAGCACCGGCUAACUACGUGCCAGCAGCCGCGGUAAUACGUAUGGUGCAAGCGUUGUCCGGAAUUAUUGGGCGUAAAGAGCUCGUAGGCGGUUUGUCGCGUCUGCUGUGAAAACCCGCGGCUCAACCUCGGGCCUGCAGUGGGUACGGGCAGACUAGAGUGCGGUAGGGGAGAUUGGAAUUCCUGGUGUAGCGGUGGAAUGCGCAGAUAUCAGGAGGAACACCGAUGGCGAAGGCAGAUCUCUGGGCCGUAACUGACGCUGAGGAGCGAAAGCGUGGGGAGCGAACAGGAUUAGAAACCCGGGUAGUCC